This 2301-nucleotide long non-coding RNA is filed under the name Homo sapiens (human). Its description in RNAcentral is "HSALNT0031031". Lineage: Eukaryota; Metazoa; Chordata; Mammalia; Primates; Hominidae. The record is from RNAcentral.
CAGGGAGGAAAGUGAGACUUGCAGGAGACACUGAGAGACUUCCUCUACGGGAUCGUUGUGAGGAUUAAGUGACUUCUUGCAACAGUGCUUGGCACAUGGUAAGCACAUACUUGUUGCAUUAUAACAGAAUAAAGAUCCUGUCUUAGGUCUGUUGGGAUCUUUCUUUCAUCUAGAGUGCCUUUUGCUGCUUUCCAAAUCCCCCUUCCACCCUUUUAUUUGUUUUGGAGGAAAGAAGUGUGCCAUGGGCUGUGGACUGAAAGUUCGUGUCCCCCACAAAAUUCAUACAUUGAAAUCCUAACCCCCAAAGUGACAGUAUUAGGAGGUGGAGCAUUUGGGAGGUGAUUUGGUCAUGAGGGUGGAGCCUUCAUGCACGGGAUUAGUGCCCUUAUCAAAGGGACCCCAGAGAGCUCUCUAGUUCUCCCUCUGCCAUGUGAGGACACAGAGAAGUUAGCAGUCUGCAACCUGGAAGAAGGCCCUCGCCAAAACCCGGCCAUGCUGGCGUCCUGAUCUUGAAAGUCCAGUCUCCAGAACUGUGAGAAAUAAGUAUUUGUCUUUUAAGCCACCCAGCCCAUGGUAAUUUGUUACAGCAGCCCAAGAGGACUGAGAUAGAUGGUCUAGAUCAGCACUGUCCAAUAGAAAUACGCAAAACACAUAUGAAAUUAAAAAUUCCUAGAAGCCACAUUAAAAAAUAAAGAGAAACAGGUAACAUUAAUUUCAAUUACAUAUUCCACUUAAUUCAAUAUUUCUAAAACAUUAUCCUUUCAAUAUGUAAUCAAUACAAAGAUUUGUCAAAGAGCUACUUUGCUUUUUUUUGUUUACUAAUCUUUGAAAUCCUGUCUAUAUUUUACUUAUAGCACAUUUCAAUUCAGGCACUAGAUCAUCAUCUGAAAUACUUGAUUAUAUUUAGAUUUCAUCAAAUUGACAAUUGAACAAGUAGAUCCACAUACCCAAGUUGUUCCAUACAACUUCCCAGUAACUGAAACCAGUAUCAGUUUUUAAAGUAAAAUUAGUUAAAAUGAAAUGAAAUUCUAGUUCUUCAGGUGCACCAGCCACAUUUCAAGUGCUCAGGGGCUACAUGUGGCUACUGUAUUGAACAGUGCAGGUCUAGAGGUUGCUAUGGGGAGGACUUAGCAUGGAGAAUGGUGUCUGGCUGUAGGAAUCUCAGGCACAAGGAACUUACAAGAACAGAGACUCUGGCAACAUCCUCAGCUUGUUUCUAUUAUGGUGGGAGGCAGGUAGGGUGGUGUGGGGACAGGGGUGUAAAGAGAAUUGCUUGUUCCUUCAAGAACAAAUGCAUACCACUACUCACUGUCUACCAGCUGCUGCCCUGGGUGCCAGGGAUGCGGUGUGAGUUAGCAGGGAGAGAAGGGACCAGACAAAUCCAAGUAUUUACUGGAGAUAUUGAUGGAAAGACAAUAAUACCAGCCGUUGGCAUUUGUCUGUUAUGAGAAGCCUUCCUGGCCACCAUCUCUUUUGGAUCUUCACAGCAGCUGAGACUCAGGGAGGGCUCAGGACGUUAAGUGACUUGCCCAUAGCAUGUGUGGGGAGGAACAAAGGGCAAAGUGCAGGGCUUCUGAACCCAGGUGCAGGCUCUGUGACUUGCUGUCUUCACUCUGGACAAAGGGCUGAAAGGCCGUCAUGUGUGGGGCCUCCUGUUGCAUGAUUUGUAACCAUGGUGGUGGGAGGGGUCUCUGGGGAGGCAAACAACUUCAGCUGGGCAGUGGAGGCCUCCCAUCCAUGAUGUCCCCUUCAUCUAGGGCCUUUUGCGGUACACAAGGUCUGGUUCCUGCCUCAAUUUGUUCCACUUGCUGAACAUGGUGUCCAAGUGAUUCAUAUGUGUCAUCUCGUCUAACUCCUACCACAGCCUGUUGAGGUAGUUUCUACUGGAAAGACUGGGGUGUGUGGAGGGUUAAGUGCCCGCCCUCUGGUACUGGGCAGCUUGGAUUCACCAUUUCCAGCUGUGUGAUUUUCAGCGCGUGCCUUCGCAGACCGUUCUGCGUGGCUGGGGAGGUCUCAGGAAACUUAGAAUCAUGGCAGAAGGUGAAGGCGAAGCAAGGCAUGUCUUACAUGGUGUCAGGAGAGAGGGAGAAAGGGAGAGGAGGAGAAGGGGAGACGGGGAGAGGGGGAGAGAGAGAGGCAGGUGAAAGAGGGAGGGAGGGAGAGAGAGAGACAGCGAGAGAGAGCGAGAGCAGGGGAAGAGCCGUACAAUUAUCAAACAACCAGAUCUCGUGAGAAUGCUAUCACGAGAACAGCAAGGGGGAAAUCCACGCCCAUGAUUCAAUCACCUCCCAGCAGACCACU